AAACAAGAUGACAACAAAAUUGAAAGUUCUAGAAAGAAGGUGCUUAAGAGGACCAUGGCUGUUACUCCUAUAAUUGAAAGAAAUUGUGCCAAGGAUGAUGCUAGGCCAGAAGGAAACAAGACAAUAAAAGAAGUUAAACUCUCAAUAAGACAGAACUUUAUGUUGAUAACUUUGAUUUUAAAUAUCCAUUGAAAUCACUACCUUCCAGAACAGAAGCUGUCCUUCUUU
This 228-nucleotide long non-coding RNA is filed under the name Mustela putorius furo (domestic ferret). RNAcentral describes it as "lncRNA (ENSMPUG00000025868.1)". Lineage: Eukaryota; Metazoa; Chordata; Mammalia; Carnivora; Mustelidae. The record is from RNAcentral.